Molecule: ribosomal RNA, 278 nt
Filed under: uncultured bacterium
Lineage: Bacteria
Description: partial 16S ribosomal RNA
Rfam family: Bacterial small subunit ribosomal RNA
Source: RNAcentral
AACGAACGCUGGCGGCAGGCUUAACACAUGCAAGUCGAGCGCUCACUUCGGUGGGAGCGGCAGACGGGUGAGUAACGCGUGGGAACCUACCUAGUAGUGCGGAAUAGCUCCUGGAAACGGGAAUUAAUACCGCAUACGCCCUUUGGGGGAAAGAUUUAUCGCUAUUAGAUGGGCCCGCGUUGGAUUAGUUAGUUGGUGGGGUAAUGGCCUACCAAGACGACGAUCUAUAGCUGGUCUGAGAGGAUGAUCAGCCACACUGGGACUGAGACACGGCCCAG